UCAGGAUGAACGCCGGCGGUGUGCCUAAUACAUGCAAGUCGAACGCGUUGGCCCAAUUGAUUGAUGGUGCUUGCACCUGAUUGAUUUUGGUCGCCAACGAGUGGCGGACGGGUGAGUAACACGUAGGUAACCUGCCCAGAAGCGGGGGACAACAUUUGGAAACAGAUGCUAAUACCGCAUAACAGCGUUGUUCGCAUGAACAACGCUUAAAAGAUGGCUUCUCGCUAUCACUUCUGGAUGGACCUGCGGUGCAUUAGCUUGUUGGUGGGGUAACGGCCUACCAAGGCGAUGAUGCAUAGCCGAGUUGAGAGACUGAUCGGCCACAAUGGGACUGAGACACGGCCCAUACUCCUACGGGAGGCAGCAGUAGGGAAUCUUCCACAAUGGGCGCAAGCCUGAUGGAGCAACACCGCGUGAGUGAAGAAGGGUUUCGGCUCGUAAAGCUCUGUUGUUAAAGAAGAACACGUAUGAGAGUAACUGUUCAUACGUUGACGGUAUUUAACCAGAAAGUCACGGCUAACUACGUGCCAGCAGCCGCGGUAAUACGUAGGUGGCAAGCGUUAUCCGGAUUUAUUGGGCGUAAAGAGAGUGCAGGCGGUUUUCUAAGUCUGAUGUGAAAGCCUUCGGCUUAACCGGAGAAGUGCAUCGGAAACUGGAUAACUUGAGUGCAGAAGAGGGUAGUGGAACUCCAUGUGUAGCGGUGGAAUGCGUAGAUAUAUGGAAGAACACCAGUGGCGAAGGCGGCUACCUGGUCUGCAACUGACGCUGAGACUCGAAAGCAUGGGUAGCGAACAGGAUUAGAUACCCUGGUAGUCCAUGCCGUAAACGAUGAGUGCUAGGUGUUGGAGGGUUUCCGCCCUUCAGUGCCGGAGCUAACGCAUUAAGCACUCCGCCUGGGGAGUACGACCGCAAGGUUGAAACUCAAAGGAAUUGACGGGGGCCCGCACAAGCGGUGGAGCAUGUGGUUUAAUUCGAAGCUACGCGAAGAACCUUACCAGGUCUUGACAUCUUGCGCCAACCCUAGAGAUAGGGCGUUUCCUUCGGGAACGCAAUGACAGGUGGUGCAUGGUCGUCGUCAGCUCGUGUCGUGAGAUGUUGGGUUAAGUCCCGCAACGAGCGCAACCCUUGUUACUAGUUGCCAGCAUUAAGUUGGGCACUCUAGUGAGACUGCCGGUGACAAACCGGAGGAAGGUGGGGACGACGUCAGAUCAUCAUGCCCCUUAUGACCUGGGCUACACACGUGCUACAAUGGACGGUACAACGAGUCGCGAACUCGCGAGGGCAAGCAAAUCUCUUAAAACCGUUCUCAGUUCGGACUGCAGGCUGCAACUCGCCUGCACGAAGUCGGAAUCGCUAGUAAUCGCGGAUCAGCAUGCCGCGGUGAAUACGUUCCCGGGCCUUGUACACACCGCCCGUCACACCAUGAGAGUUUGUAACACCCAAAGUCGGUGGGGUAACCUUUUAGGAGCCAGCCGCCUAAGGUGGGACAGAUGAUUAGGGUGAAGUC
RNAcentral lists this ribosomal RNA (1507 nucleotides) under Limosilactobacillus fermentum. Its description in RNAcentral is "bacterial SSU rRNA". It matches the Rfam family "Bacterial small subunit ribosomal RNA". Lineage: Bacteria; Bacillati; Bacillota; Bacilli; Lactobacillales; Lactobacillaceae. The record is from RNAcentral.